GGAUAACCUGCCCUAUUGUCUGGAAUAACCUCGGGAAACUGAGAACAAGGCCGGAUAGCCCACAAUGCCUGGAACGGUUUGUGGGUGAAGAUAGGAUGGGUCUGCGGCGUAUCAGGUUGUAGGGGGUGUAAUGGACCUCCUAGCCAUCGACGCGUACGGGUGUUGGGAGACAUAGCCCGGAGAUGGAUUCUGAGACACGAAUCCAGACCCUACGGGGUGCAGCAGGCGCGAAAACUUCACACUGCAGGAAACUGUGAUGAGGGAACUCCAAGUGCUAUCACUAUGUGGUAGCUUUUCUUGACUAUUAAUCGGUCAUGGAAUAAGGGCUGGGAAAGACCGGUGCCAGCCGCCGCGGUAAUACCGGCAGCUCAAGUGGUCGUCGCUUUUAUUGGGCCUAAAACGUCCGUAGCCUGUUUGGUAAAUCUGUGGGUAAAUCAACCAGCUUAACUGGUUGAAUUCUGCAGAGACUGCCAGACUAGGGACCGGGAGAGGUGUGGGGUACUCUAGGGGUGGGGGUAAAAUCCUGUCAUCCUUAGAGGACCACCAGUUGCGAAGGCGCCACACUGGAACGGAUCCGACGGUCAGGGACGAAGCCUAGGGGCACGAACCGGAUUAGAUACCCGGGUAGUCCUAGGUGUAAACGCUGUGAACUUGGUGUCGGGGAUCCGUAAUGGGUCCUCGGUGCCGGAGUGAAGAUGUUAAGUUCACUGCCUGGGGAGUACGGUCGCAAGGCUGAAACUU
Molecule: ribosomal RNA, 741 nt
Filed under: uncultured Candidatus Poseidoniales archaeon
Lineage: Archaea; Methanobacteriati; Thermoplasmatota; Candidatus Poseidoniia; Candidatus Poseidoniales
Description: bacterial SSU rRNA
Rfam family: Archaeal small subunit ribosomal RNA
Source: RNAcentral